AAACUGGAUUUGACCAUGCUCUAGAGGAUUUGAGCACCAGUGUAGGUUUGACCAAAAGACCAUCCAGCUGGAGCAACAUUAUUGGAAACAACAGUACGACCAUCACUAGUUGUAACCUUAAAAGACAAACUUUGACCAUUGAGAUAAUUGUUGCUCUGCCAGUUUUGUCCCCAGUUUCUUGACAUAGAUAUCCAACCAGUUUUUGACCCUUUGAUGGAUGCAGCAUGUACAUCUCCAGCACCACCAACAUUUGUGAUAAGAACUAGGUUAAAAUAAGAAUGUCCAUUGAUAGUGAACCUUAUACCUCCCUUUCUCCUACAUGACACCCUACACAAAACCAAGACACAAAUUAGUAUAUACCAAAUACAAAAAAAAAAAAAAAAAAAAAAAAAAUUGAAAAUUUAUAUAAAAAAACGUAGAUGCUUGACAAAAGCAACCUACCUUCUAAAAUCAACAGGAACAAUUCCAGCUUUGUAUUGAGCAAUUCGAAGAAACACAGGUUGAGCAAGAUCAAAAUGUUGGAGAGGAGGGUUACACCAACCACCAUCAUUGUUUGGUAAGGCAUUGUUUGGUGGACAG
RNAcentral lists this long non-coding RNA (579 nucleotides) under Medicago truncatula (barrel medic). RNAcentral's name for it is "long non-coding RNA (MTRU_LNC002093)". Lineage: Eukaryota; Viridiplantae; Streptophyta; Magnoliopsida; Fabales; Fabaceae. The record is from RNAcentral.